This 164-nucleotide ribosomal RNA is filed under the name Lespedeza cuneata (sericea lespedeza). Its description in RNAcentral is "5.8S ribosomal RNA". It matches the Rfam family "5.8S ribosomal RNA". Rfam says of the family: 5.8S ribosomal RNA (5.8S rRNA) is a component of the large subunit of the eukaryotic ribosome. It is transcribed by RNA polymerase I as part of the 45S precursor that also contains 18S and 28S rRNA. Lineage: Eukaryota; Viridiplantae; Streptophyta; Magnoliopsida; Fabales; Fabaceae. The record is from RNAcentral.
UGAAUGACUCUCGGCAACGGAUAUCUCGGCUCUUGCAUCGAUGAAGAACGUAGCGAAAUGCGAUACUUGGUGUGAAUUGCAGAAUCCCGUGAACCAUCGAGUCUUUGAACGCAAGUUGCGCCCGAAGCCAUUAGGCCGAGGGCACGCCUGCCUGGGUGUCACAC